This 73-nucleotide transfer RNA is filed under the name Camelus bactrianus (Bactrian camel). It matches the Rfam family "tRNA". Rfam says of the family: Transfer RNA (tRNA) molecules are approximately 80 nucleotides in length. Their secondary structure includes four short double-helical elements and three loops (D, anti-codon, and T loops). RNAcentral also lists the same sequence under 1 other name. Lineage: Eukaryota; Metazoa; Chordata; Mammalia; Artiodactyla; Camelidae. The record is from Rfam by way of RNAcentral.
GGGGGUGCAGCUCACUGGUAAGAGCAUGUGCUUGGCAUGCACGAGGUCGUGGGUUCAAUCCCCAGUAUCUCCA